GAUGAAGAACGCAGCGAAAUGCGAUACUUGGUGUGAAUUGCAGAAUCCCGUGAACCAUCGAGUCUUUGAACGCAAGUUGCGCCCGAAGCCUCGGCUAAGGGCACGUCUGCCUGGGCGUCACGCAUCGCGUCUCCCCCAAACCGCCAAGGCGGAGGGGAAGGAAGAUGGCUUCCCGUGCCUCACCCGGCGCGGUUGGCCUAAAUUUGGAGCCCGCGGCACUUAGCUCUCGUGGCGAUAGGUGGUGAACAAGGCCUUGGCCGUGCAAACAACCCGCUGCAAAUCUCUAUGUCACGUGCGCUCGUCGGACCCUUUGAUGUUGCCUUCGGUGACUUAAAACCUUUGCGACCCCAGGUCAGGCGGGGCUACCCGCUGAAUUUAAGCAUAUCAAUAAGCGGAGGA
Molecule: unclassified non-coding RNA, 399 nt
Filed under: soil metagenome
Description: partial contains 5.8S ribosomal RNA, internal transcribed spacer 2, and large subunit ribosomal RNA
Rfam family: 5.8S ribosomal RNA (bases 1-120)
Source: RNAcentral